UGGCGGCAGGCCUAACACAUGCAAGUCGAGCGGUAACAGAAAGAAAGCUUGCUUUCUUUGCUGACGAGCGGCGGACGGGUGAGUAAUGCCUGGGAAUAUGCCUUAGUGUGGGGGAUAACUAUUGGAAACGAUAGCUAAUACCGCAUAAUGUCUUCGGACCAAAGAGGGGGACCUUCGGGCCUCUCGCGCUAAGAUUAGCCCAGGUGGGAUUAGCUAGUUGGUGAGGUAAAGGCUCACCAAGGCAACGAUCCCUAGCUGGUCUGAGAGGAUGAUCAGCCACACUGGAACUGAGACACGGUCCAGACUCCUACGGGAGGCAGCAGUGGGGAAUAUUGCACAAUGGGGGGAACCCUGAUGCAGCCAUGCCGCGUGUAUGAAGAAGGCCUUCGGGUUGUAAAGUACUUUCAGUCGUGAGGAAGGCAUUGUAGUUAAUAGCUGCAGUGCUUGACGUUAGCGACAGAAGAAGCACCGGCUAACUCCGUG
This 483-nucleotide ribosomal RNA is filed under the name uncultured bacterium. RNAcentral's name for it is "bacterial SSU rRNA". It matches the Rfam family "Bacterial small subunit ribosomal RNA", at positions 37 to 507 of the family's 1533-position model. The record is from RNAcentral.